Setaria italica (foxtail millet) is the source of this 197-nucleotide small nuclear RNA. It matches the Rfam family "U2 spliceosomal RNA". Rfam says of the family: U2 is a small nuclear RNA (snRNA) component of the spliceosome (involved in pre-mRNA splicing). Complementary binding between U2 snRNA (in an area lying towards the 5' end but 3' to hairpin I) and the branchpoint sequence (BPS) of the intron results the bulging out of an unpaired adenosine, on the BPS, which initiates a nucleophilic attack at the intronic 5' splice site, thus starting the first of two transesterification reactions that mediate splicing. The record is from Rfam. NCBI's taxonomy places the organism in Eukaryota, Viridiplantae, Streptophyta, Magnoliopsida, Poales, Poaceae.
AUACCUUUCUCGGCCUUUUGGCUAAGAUCAAGUGUAGUAUCUGUUCUUAUCAGUUUAAUAUCUGAUAUGUGGGCCAUGUGCCCACUUCGAUAUUAAAUUUAUUUUUUGUGGGGGAGGAUCCACCACAGUGGCUUGCCACUGGGAUCUUCGAGCGUCGCUUGGGCUUUGCACUACUGCCCUAGCCUGGCGCACCCCAA